Long non-coding RNA from Octopus sinensis (East Asian common octopus), 181 nucleotides. RefSeq lists it as uncharacterized. The record is from RefSeq and is a predicted model, not a curated record. NCBI's taxonomy places the organism in Eukaryota, Metazoa, Mollusca, Cephalopoda, Octopoda, Octopodidae. The transcript has 3 exons.
UGUAUGUGUGUGUGUGUGUGUGUGUGUGUAUAAAUUAUGAGGCUGCUGAACAGUUCCUGGCUUUAAGGGUAUCCCGAAAGACCUGGUUGGAAGCCUAAACUUCCGAGUUGUUUUUCAGGGAUUAGAAAAACUGAAGGACUGCUGCAAUAAGUGUGUGAAUCUGCGAAGGGAAUAUGUUGAU